AGUGAACGCUGGCGGUAGGCCUAACACAUGCAAGUCGAACGGCAGCACAGUAAGAGCUUGCUCUUACGGGUGGCGAGUGGCGGACGGGUGAGGAAUACAUCGGAAUCUACUUUUUCGUGGGGGAUAACGUAGGGAAACUUACGCUAAUACCGCAUACGACCUACGGGUGAAAGCAGGGGAUCUUCGGACCUUGCGCGAUUGAAUGAGCCGAUGUCGGAUUAGCUAGUUGGCGGGGUAAAGGCCCACCAAGGCGACGAUCCGUAGCUGGUCUGAGAGGAUGAUCAGCCACACUGGAACUGAGACACGGUCCAGACUCCUACGGGAGGCAGCAGUGGGGAAUAUUGGACAAGGGGCGCAAGCCUGAUCCAGCCAUACCGCGUGGGUGAAGAAGGUCUUCGGGUUGUAAAGCCCUUUUGUUGGGAAAGAAAAGCAGCAGGUUAAUACCCCGCUGUUCUGACGGUACCCAAAGAAUAAGCACCGGCUAACUUCGUG
RNAcentral lists this ribosomal RNA (492 nucleotides) under uncultured bacterium. RNAcentral describes it as "partial 16S ribosomal RNA". It matches the Rfam family "Bacterial small subunit ribosomal RNA", at positions 29 to 507 of the family's 1533-position model. The record is from RNAcentral.